This 473-nucleotide ribosomal RNA is filed under the name Cyphophthalmus martensi. RNAcentral's name for it is "partial 16S ribosomal RNA". The record is from RNAcentral. Lineage: Eukaryota; Metazoa; Arthropoda; Arachnida; Opiliones; Sironidae.
UUUUUAUAGUUAUAAUUAUAAAUAACACCUGCUCAAUGAAAAUUAAAUGGCGGCGUAAGUCCUAAGGUAGCAUAAUCAUUAGCCUCUUAAUUAGGGGAUAGUAUGAAAGGUAGUACGAAUAAAAUUAAGUUUUAAAUCUAAUGUUAUAAAUUAAUAAACAAGUUAAAAAUCUUGUUUUCUGUUUAGGGACAAGAAGACCCUAUAAAGUUUAUUUACCUAAAUAUUUAUAAUGUUUGAAGGUAGUUUUAUUGGGGCAAUACCUUAAGAUAAGAUUUUAAGGAUGAUGUUUUUUCUAAAAAUGUGUUGAUCCAUUAUUAGUGAGCAAUUAGUUAAGUUACUUUAGGGAUAACAGCAUAAUUAGAAUUUUAAAGUUCACAUUUACAAUUUUGGUUGUGACCUCGAUGUUGGAUUAAUACCCUUGAUGGUGAAGAUGCUAUCACUUGGAAGUCUGUUCGACUUUCUAAUUAAUUACA